This is a non-coding RNA of Crucibulum laeve, 85 nucleotides long. The record is from the annotation of a GenBank genome assembly. Lineage: Eukaryota; Fungi; Basidiomycota; Agaricomycetes; Agaricales; Nidulariaceae.
GGGUCGAUGGCGUAGCUGGUUAUCGCAUCUGUCUAACAUUAUAUAUGUUCACAGAAGGUCCUCAGUUCGAACCUGGGUCGACUCA